Molecule: unclassified non-coding RNA, 26 nt
Filed under: Mus musculus (house mouse)
Lineage: Eukaryota; Metazoa; Chordata; Mammalia; Rodentia; Muridae
Description: oocyte_clustered_small_RNA2133
Source: RNAcentral
UCAGCAUCAGGGUCUGACAGGAUUUU